AGGACGAACGCUGGCGGCGUGCUUAACACAUGCAAGUCGAGCGGAAAGGCCCUUCGGGGUACUCGAGCGGCGAACGGGUGAGUAACACGUGAGCAACCUGCCCUUAGCUUCGGGAUAGCUCCGGGAAACCGGAAUUAAAUACCGAAUAUGACUUUGGCUGACAUCAGCAGAAGUGGAAAGUUUUUCGGCUAGGGAUGGACUCGCGGCCUAUCAGCUAGUUGGUGAGGUAACGGCCCACCGAAGGCGACGACGGGUAG
RNAcentral lists this ribosomal RNA (257 nucleotides) under uncultured bacterium. RNAcentral describes it as "partial small subunit ribosomal RNA". It matches the Rfam family "Bacterial small subunit ribosomal RNA", at positions 26 to 286 of the family's 1533-position model. The record is from RNAcentral.